UUAUAUCUACUUUACGUGAGUCUGCAUUUAUGUAUGCCGUCAUACGACAAAAUUAUUUUUAUGUCUACCUGUACGAAUUUCAAACGCGCAAUUUUACACCAGUAAUGAAAACCUUCUAUCAUUUAUGGGUAGACUUUACAUAGAUAAAUUCAGCCGUAUUUGACGUGAAACUGUACUUAUGUAUCCCGUCAUACUUUGAACCACACCAUUAUUUUAUUUAUUAUUUUUACUGUAAGUCUGUUUUUUUGUUAUAUCUACUUUACGUGAGUCUGCAUUUAUGUAUGCCGUCAUACGACAAAAUUAUUUUUAUGUCUACCUGUGCGAAUUUCAAACGCGCAAUUUUACACCAGUAAUGAAAACCUUCUUUCAUUUAUGGGUAGACUUUACAUAGAUAAAUUCAGCCGUAUAGGAAAAGCAAAAUGAGAAUGUUGAAUUUGAUGUAUGCCUUUUUGUGC
RNAcentral lists this long non-coding RNA (455 nucleotides) under Mytilus galloprovincialis (Mediterranean mussel). Lineage: Eukaryota; Metazoa; Mollusca; Bivalvia; Mytilida; Mytilidae. The record is from RNAcentral.